AUUGAACGCUGGCGGCAUGCCUUACACAUGCAAGUCGAACGGCAGCACGGGAGCAAUCCUGGUGGCGAGUGGCGAACGGGUGAGUAAAGUAUCGGAACGUGCCCAGUCGUGGGGGAUAACGUAGCGAAAGUUACGCUAAUACCGCAUACGAUCUAUGGAUGAAAGCGGGGGGUCGCAAGACCUCGCGCGAUUGGAGCGGCCGAUAUCAGAUUAGGUAGUUGGUGGGGUAAAGGCUCACCAAGCCGACGAUCUGUAGCUGGUCUGAGAGGACGACCAGCCACACUGGGACGGAGACACGGCCCAGACUCCUACGGGAGGCAGCAGUGGGGAAUUUUGGACAAUGGGCGAAAGCCUGAUCCAGCCAUGCCGCGUGCAGGAUGAAGGCCUUCGGGUUGUAAACUGCUUUUGUACGGAACGAAAAGGUUUGGCCUAAUAAGCUGAGCUCAUGACGGUACCGUAAGAAUAAGCACCGGCUAACUACGUGCCAGCAGCCGCCGUAA
This 500-nucleotide ribosomal RNA is filed under the name uncultured bacterium. Its description in RNAcentral is "partial 16S ribosomal RNA". It matches the Rfam family "Bacterial small subunit ribosomal RNA", at positions 30 to 523 of the family's 1533-position model. The record is from RNAcentral.